RNAcentral lists this ribosomal RNA (1743 nucleotides) under Triticum aestivum (bread wheat). Its description in RNAcentral is "partial small subunit ribosomal RNA". The record is from RNAcentral. Lineage: Eukaryota; Viridiplantae; Streptophyta; Magnoliopsida; Poales; Poaceae.
AUGGCCGACGACAACGGCGGCGGCGGCGACGACUACGUCAGCGAGGCCGUCCGCCCCGAGGGUGAUACACAUACGCGUGAAGAGGGAUUGUCAAAAUCCAGGGAUCGAGACAGAGAAAAAGACAAGGAUAAGGAGCGCCAUAGGGACCGUGACAGAGAUAGAGGAAGAGACAGAGAUCGGGGUCGGGACAGGGAUCUAGACAAGGAUCGGGACAGGGACAAGGAUCGGGAUCGUCACCAAAGGCAUCACCGUGACAAAAGGGAGCACCGAGACCGUCCUGAUGAUCACGAUCGUCACAGAAGCCGUGAUUCUGAAAGGAGAAGGGACCGCGAGAGAGAUGGACAUCGCAGGCAUCGCUCUCGUUCACGGUCUCGUUCAAGGGGCAGGGAUGAUCACAGAUCUCGAUCUCAUUCAAAAAGCAAGCGAGUCAGUGGAUUCGACCUGGGACCAACAGCACAAUCCGUACUUCCUCAGUUCCCUACCAUUCCAACCCCAAAAGGCAAUCUUGGGUCACUUGCCCCACUGCCGCCGAUGGAUGCACAGCCUACUGUAGCUUUAAUGUACAAGGAGGAAUCAGUGCUCCGCUGGAUCCAUUUGAGAUCCAGACUGAUGUUACCGGGCUCUUCUAUUCCUGGAAUGUUCCCGAACAUGCUCCCUUUUGCUGUUGGACAGUUCAAUCCCCUCGUCAUGCAGCCACAAGCCAUGACUCAACAGGCUACUCGGCAUGCUCGGCGUGUUUAUGUCGGUGGCCUUCCCCCAUCUGCUAAUGAACAGUCUGUUGCAAUAUACUUUAAUCAAGUCAUGGCUGCUAUUGGAGGAAACACUGCUGGUCCAGGUGAUGCUGUUCUUAAUGUGUACAUAAACCAUGACAAGAAAUUCGCUUUUGUGGAGAUGAGGUCUGUGGAGGAAGCAAGCAAUGCAAUGGCACUGGAUGGCAUUUUAUUUGAAGGUGCACCAGUGAAGGUUAGAAGACCAACAGACUAUAACCCUUCUCUGGCAGCUGCCCUGGGCCCAAGCCAGCCAAGCUCCAAUUUGAAUCUUGCUGCGGUUGGCCUAACACCAGGUUCAGCCGGAGGGUUAGAAGGCCCGGACCGUAUUUUUGUGGGUGGUCUCCCCUAUUACUUCACAGAGGCUCAAGUUCGGGAGCUGCUUGAAUCAUUUGGGCCUCUUCGAGGAUUUGAUCUUGUGAAAGAUAGGGAAACUGGUAACUCAAAGGGCUAUGCGUUCUGUGUCUACCAGGACCUCAAUGUCACUGACAUAGCCUGCGCUGCUCUAAAUGGUAUCAAGAUGGGAGACAAAACUCUUACGGUCAGACGAGCAAACCAGGGCUCAGCCCAACCUAGACCAGAGCAGGAAAAUAUCCUGUUGCAGGCACAGCAGCAGGUGCAGUUACAGAAACUUGUGUAUCAAGUUGGAGCGCUCCCUACAAAGGUUGUAUGCCUGACCCAGGUAGUUACUGCUGAUGAAUUAAAAGAUGAUGAAGAAUAUGAGGACAUUAUGGAGGACAUGAGGUUGGAAGCUGGGAAAUAUGGUAACUUGGUGAAAGUUGUCAUCCCGCGCCCUCAUCCGAGUGGAGAGCCAGUUUCUGGAGUUGGAAAGGUGUUCUUAGAGUAUGCAGAUGUUGAUGGUUCCACCAAAGCAAAGACGGCGAUGCACGGAAGGAAAUUCGGUGGAAACCCAGUUGUUGCGGUCUUCUACCCCGAGAACAAGUUUGCUGAUGAGGACUAUGACGCGGCAGCAUAA